Molecule: ribosomal RNA, 633 nt
Filed under: Rasamsonia emersonii
Lineage: Eukaryota; Fungi; Ascomycota; Eurotiomycetes; Eurotiales; Trichocomaceae
Description: eukaryotic LSU rRNA
Rfam family: Eukaryotic large subunit ribosomal RNA
Source: RNAcentral
UGACCUCGGAUCAGGUAGGGAUACCCGCUGAACUUAAGCAUAUCAAUAAGCGGAGGAAAAGAAACCAACAGGGAUUGCCUCAGUAACGGCGAGUGAAGCGGCAAGAGCUCAAAUUUGAAAUCUGGCCCCUUCGGGGUCCGAGUUGUAAUUUGGAGAGGAUGCUUCGGGUACGGCCCCCGUCUAAGUGCCCUGGAACGGGCCGUCAUAGAGGGUGAGAAUCCCGUCUGGGACGGGUGGCCGGGCCCGUGUGAAGCUCCUUCGACGAGUCGAGUUGUUUGGGAAUGCAGCUCUAAAUGGGUGGUAAAUUUCAUCUAAAGCUAAAUAUUGGCCGGAGACCGAUAGCGAACAAGUAGAGUGAUCGAAAGAUGAAAAGCACUUUGAAAAGAGAGUUAAACAGCACGUGAAAUUGUUGAAAGGGAAGCGCUUGCGACCAGACUCGCCCGGGGAGGCUCAGCCGGCACUCGUGCCGGUGCAUUCCCCCCCGGGCGGGCCAGCGUCGGUUUGGGCGGUCGGUCAAAGGCCCCCGGAAUGUGUCGCCCUCCGGGGCGUCUUAUAGCCGGGGGUGCAAUGCGGCCAGCCUGGACCGAGGAACGCGCUUCGGCUCGGACGCUGGCGUAAUGGUCGUAAACGACC